UACAGAGGUCUCAAGCGUUGUUCGGAUUCAUUGGGCGUAAAGGGUGCGUAGGCGGCGCGGUAAGUCGGGUGUGAAAUCUCGGAGCUUAACUCCGAAACUGCAUUCGAUACUGCCGUGCUUGAGGACUGGAGAGGAGACUGGAAUUUACGGUGUAGCGGUGAAAUGCGUAGAUAUCGUAAGGAAGACCAGUGGCGAAGGCGGCCCUCUGGUCCAGUACUGACACUCAAGUGCGAAAGCGUGGGGAGCAAACAGG
Molecule: ribosomal RNA, 253 nt
Filed under: uncultured bacterium
Lineage: Bacteria
Description: partial 16S ribosomal RNA
Rfam family: Bacterial small subunit ribosomal RNA
Source: RNAcentral